CCAACAGCAGCAGCAGCAGCAGCAGCAGCAGCAGCCGUCAGUGUGAGAUCAGCUCUUCUAAACACAGCAGUGUGUACAACUUCUCCCCCAACAUCCCCAACAACCACCAUGCUGCAACUUACUACUGCGCUGUGGAGACCUGUGGGAGGAUCAUCAUCGGGAAUGGAACUCCAGUGAACUUGAUGGGGCCUGCGGAACUCAUUGUGCUUUAUCUCGGAGCAGCUCUGGGACUGUGUGUGGUUGUGAUCAUUGUCCUAUCUGUUUUAAUCCACAAUGUGAGACCUCAACAAGAUUUACUGUACAAGAAUGUGGACAGUCAGGAUACUGUGGAGCUGAUAAUGAAGAAAAGGUACUCAGGAGACAGUGUGUACUCUGAAGUGAGCUACUUCACAGUCGAUGAUGCCAGUCAAACUCGCUAACCAUCGUCUCUUGCGUUCGCCUCACGAGUUUAUGAAAUUAUUUUUUUUUCCUUUUUAUUUGCAGAUGAGCUCUAGUUUAACAUUUAAAUUAAUUAGCGAUGAACCAAAA
This 528-nucleotide long non-coding RNA is filed under the name Astyanax mexicanus (Mexican tetra). Its description in RNAcentral is "lncRNA (ENSAMXG00005011508.1)". The record is from RNAcentral. Lineage: Eukaryota; Metazoa; Chordata; Actinopteri; Characiformes; Acestrorhamphidae.